AAGCGCAGCGAUGCGUUGAGCUAACCGGUACUAAUGAACCGUGAGGCUUAACCUUACAACGCCGAAGGUGUUU
This 73-nucleotide ribosomal RNA is filed under the name Escherichia coli. RNAcentral's name for it is "partial 23S ribosomal RNA". RNAcentral also lists the same sequence under 4 other names. The record is from RNAcentral. Lineage: Bacteria; Pseudomonadati; Pseudomonadota; Gammaproteobacteria; Enterobacterales; Enterobacteriaceae.